CUACGGGCCGCUGCAGUGGGGAAUAUUGGACAAUGGGCGAAAGCCUGAUCCAGCAAUGCCGCGUGAGUGAUGAAGGCCUUAGGGUUGUAAAGCUCUUUUACCAGGGAUGAUAAUGACAGUACCUGGAGAAUAAGCUCCGGCUAACUCCGUGCCAGCAGCCGCGGUAAUACGGAGGGAGCUAGCGUUGUUCGGAAUUACUGGGCGUGAAGAGUACGUAGGCGGUUAUUCAAGUCAGAGGUGAAAGCCUGGAGCUCAACUCCAGAACUGCCUUUGAAACUAGAUAGCUAGAAUUAUGGAGAGGUUAGUGGAAUUCCGAGUGUAGAGGUGAAAUUCGUAGAUAUUCGGAAGAACACCAGUGGCGAAGGCGACUAACUGGACAUAUAUUGACGCUGAGGUACGAAAGCGUGGGGAGCAAACAGGAUUAGAUACCCCCGUAGUC
This 439-nucleotide ribosomal RNA is filed under the name uncultured bacterium. RNAcentral's name for it is "partial 16S ribosomal RNA". It matches the Rfam family "Bacterial small subunit ribosomal RNA", at positions 339 to 795 of the family's 1533-position model. The record is from RNAcentral.